This 1527-nucleotide long non-coding RNA is filed under the name Helianthus annuus (common sunflower). Its description in RNAcentral is "hypothetical non coding rna". Lineage: Eukaryota; Viridiplantae; Streptophyta; Magnoliopsida; Asterales; Asteraceae. The record is from RNAcentral.
GCCUUUUUUUCCAUUGCCAAUCCAUCACAAAAAAAAAAUAAUUUUUUCGACAACCAUGAAAACCCAAAAAAAACAGACACGGGAUACACACUGAUUAGCGUUUCAGAUUCAUCACAAUUCACAUUAGGCCAAGUUUCAUUGCCAAAAAAAUAAUUUUUUCCAUUGCCAAUCCAUCACAAAAAAAAUAAUUUUUUCUGCUCCUCUCUCUCUCUCUCUCUCUCUGGCGAUUCAAGAACACGAUUUCACAAGAUCUAUGAAGUUUGAACAGAUCGAUGAAGAUUCGGACCUCCCAGAUUCGAUUUCCGGCUUUUAUUGGCGUUUUGCAACAUUCGUCAAAGGUCAUGGUUUAAAGACUAGGUAACGGUUUGAGAAGAGUUCAAGAUCGAGCUAUUGUUUUGUAGUAUGAAGGGGUAUGCAUCUUCCGUCAUAAAUUCUUUCAGGAUCUAUUUGGUAAGCCUUUCUUUCAGAUGGGACAGAAAGGCAUCGACUCCUAUCAUAGCUCUUUCCUUGGAUCGGUUGUUUGCAGGAGAAAGUGAGGAGAAAGUUGUGGUUGUCAAAGGCGAAGUAGAAGAAUAUAAAGAGAAUGUGAGGGCGGUUGUCAAAGGAGGUGCUGCUGGUUUUGGUUUUCAGUUAGAAGCGGUUGAUUAGUAUAGACAUGUUGAGAAGAUACUAUCUGGAGAUGGAUCUGGAAGGUUGCAGGAUCGAGUGAAGGAAACGCUAAAGGAGUUUAUGUGGGCUACACAGAUGAUACUUUUGUGCCCGGCCAAGAAUUUCAGGUGCUCCUACUAACAACAAAGUCACUGCGGUCCUUGAAAAGGCAAGCUCAACCCGCCAGGUUUCUCACCUCUCCUUUGCACUAGAGUAAUGGGUCAAAAGAGGCUUAGGUUUAAAUGGGUCAUCUUUUUUUAGUAUGGGAUGGAUUUUUUGUUCAUCUUUUAUUGUAAAGAUUAUUACGUAGAUUACAAUUACAAAUGACAUUGAAUUUUACCUUCUCUAAGUUCGCGUUUGAAAAGAGUUUCAGUAUUGUUAUACGAAACUUCAGUAUUUUUAAGGCACCUGAUUGCAGUUAGGACAGAGUCGUGGCAGAGAAGAUAGGUUUUAUAAUCCGGAAAAAGCGAGAAGAAACCAUCAAAAUCAGGAUCAACUCCGAUGAGCACAAAGUGAUGCCACUCCAAACCAAAAUCUAUGACGUUGCCAGGCCCUGGGGAGGCUGAGAACCGAGUUGUGAAGUCAUUUAAAGAGGCAUUAGCAAAACACAAAUUGGAUCGACGCACUUUAGGUCUUUCAAAAUGUCUGAAGGAGAAAGAAUUGGUGGCACUUGCGGCCAACCAGGACCUUUCUUUUGUGUAUAAUUUAAAACCCAAGCACCACCAAAGGAGACUAUGAAUUGUAUAGGUAACUAGUUAAUUGCCCUGCCCGCGUUGCGAGGCGUUAAAUCGAAUAUUUCUUAGUUUCAUAACAUGUACACAUGUAUUUUAGUUACUUGUAUAUACUAUUUAUAACACGAUCUCAAAAAAAAAAAAAAAA